CCGUAAUCCGGGUUGCGGACAGUGUCUGGUGGGUAGUUUGACUGGGGCGGUCUCCUCCUAAAGAGUAACGGAGGAGCACGAAGGUUGGCUAAUCCUGGUCGGACAUCAGGAGGUUAGUGCAAUGGCAUAAGCCAGCUUGACUGCGAGCGUGACGGCGCGAGCAGGUGCGAAAGCAGGUCAUAGUGAUCCGGUGGUUCUGAAUGGAAGGGCCAUCGCUCAACGGAUAAAAGGUACUCCGGGGAUAACAGGCUGAUACCGCCCAAGAGUUCAUAUCGACGGCGGUGUUUGGCACCUCGAUGUCGGCUCAUCACAUCCUGGGGCUGAAGUAGGUCCCAAGGGUAUGGCUGUUCGCCAUUUAAAGUGGUACGCGAGCUGGGUUUAGAACGUCGUGAGACAGUUCGGUCCCUAUCUGCCGUGGGCGCUGGAGAACUGAGGGGGGCUGCUCCUAGUACGAGAGGACCGGAGUGGACGCAUCACUGGUGUUCGGGUUGUCAUGCCAAUGGCACUGCCCGGUAGCUAAAUGCGGAAGAGAUAAGUGCUGAAAGCAUCUAAGCACGAAACUUGCCCCGA
This 570-nucleotide ribosomal RNA is filed under the name Salmonella enterica subsp. enterica serovar Infantis. RNAcentral's name for it is "partial 23S ribosomal RNA". It matches the Rfam family "Bacterial large subunit ribosomal RNA", at positions 2233 to 2802 of the family's 2925-position model. The record is from RNAcentral. Lineage: Bacteria; Pseudomonadati; Pseudomonadota; Gammaproteobacteria; Enterobacterales; Enterobacteriaceae.